RNAcentral lists this ribosomal RNA (515 nucleotides) under uncultured bacterium. RNAcentral's name for it is "partial 16S ribosomal RNA". It matches the Rfam family "Bacterial small subunit ribosomal RNA", at positions 28 to 523 of the family's 1533-position model. The record is from RNAcentral.
GAUGAACGCUGGCGGCGUGCCUAAUACAUGCAAGUCGAGCGAAUGGAUUAAGAGCUUGCUCUUAUGAAGUUAGCGGCGGACGGGUGAGUAACACGUGAGUAACCUGCCCAUAAGACUGGGAUAAAUCCGGGAAACCGGGGCUAAUACCGGAUAACAUUUUGAACCGCAUGGUUCGAAAUUGAAAGGCGGCUUCGGCUGUCACUUAUGGAUGGACCCGCGUCGCAUUAGCUAGUUGGUGAGGUAACGGCUCCCCAAGGCAACGAUGCGGAGCCGACCUGAGAGGGUGAUCGGCCACACUGGGACUGAGACACGGCCCAGACUCCUACGGGAGGCAGCAGUAGGGAAUCUUCCGCAAUGGACGAAAGUCUGACGGAGCAACGCCGCGUGAGUGAUGAAGGCUUUCGGGUCGUAAAACUCUGUUGUUAGGGAAGAACAAGUGCUAGUUGAAUAAGCUGGCACCUUGACGGUACCUAACCAGAAAGCCACGGCUAACUACGUGCCAGCAGCCGCAGUAA